CAAUGCUACUAGGAACAGCAAUCCCACCGUCAGAGGACGAGCGAUGAUAGAAAUGUGGUCUGGGACGAAGAAAAGUAUGGCACAGAGACAAGGUGAUGUUAGCCGCGGCGUGGCUCACGUUGUUGCGGACCGAGCAGUUGAGCAGACCCGACCGGCCCGGCUCCAGAGUGACGUCACCACUAGUGCCACUGGGUCCGGAGAGGAGACGCGUGCCGUUCAGCGGGAGUCCGUCUAGACUGAAGCUGUAGUGCAGUGCCCCCCCUCCCUCAGCAGAGCCGGACACCCUCUGCUGUCCCGUGUAUAGACACUCCCGGGACAGGAGGGGAGAGGAGACCGGGGCUAAGGGAAACCGACUGAGGAGGUGAGUCUCACAGUUUGACUGAACAGAAGCCUUCUGUUAUUCACUCAUAGAAACUUAACUGCAUCCAAUUAUAAUUAGAAGUAUCCACCUCUUUAACCCCCCUGCUGCUACUCCCAGACAAACUAGUGUUUACUGUACUUGACAUAUUUGAUGCCGGCAUAUACAAAUUAGGCAGUAGCAAAAUAAACAGCAUUUUCACCCAACGCACUUCAACACAGCACCCUCUCUGUAUCAAAUUUUGGCCUAAAAAAUGGGCAGAGGGGCUGUCUAAGGAAUGCAUAGAAAAGGCCUUAAAAACAUUCACAAAGUACAGUAUAGCAUGUGACAAUACCAAUAAUAUGAACAUGGAGCCUUAGAGACAACAGUGUUUCUUUAAGAGCUAUGAAGUCAGACGUCAUGGUUUAAACAAUCCUUAAUGACCUAAAUGGGAAACAGCAGCUAAAACCAGCUACUGCUACUGAAAUAAGACAUAGUGACUCACCUUGAAUGGUUAAAUAACAUGUUGUUCUUUCUACUUCCUGCCCAACUGCAUCAUGUACAUCCAUUGAGUAUGUACUAUUGUCUGACCUGUUGAUGUCCUUUAUAGUAAAUAUUGUAGUACUGGCAUUAAAUGAAUAUCGAGUAUUGUUCGUCUUCUGCCCUCUGCUGGAAAAAAUCACGUCAUACUUUUUCAUCAGUCUGUAGGUAUCAUCUUGUGAGGUCUUAGGUAGCUGGACUUCCAAGGUUCCUCCCAGACAGCCAAAGCACUGGGUUGCGAUGUUUGGCUGCGUGGCAUCGCAGAAGGUCUUCACACCUGGUGGUUUACAGAGGAGAAUAAGACAAUACAGGAGAUAUAUCUCACUCAGAUUCCCAGACCAACGCUCACUAUAACUGUAAGAACUGUUACUCUCUUAUUACCAUUACUAUAAGAGGGAUGGACAAUAUCAAUGCAAUGGGUGUUAUUGCAGCGAGGGUCAUUAUACUCAUACAUGUUGAAGGUUGAAACAUUUAAUAUUUCCUUACAUUUUUUAUUUGAUUUACAUAAUUUCAAAAUUAUCGUCAUGUAAAUGAAAAUACCCUACCCUACCUCGAAUACGCCUGAUAAUAUGUGGUAAUACUGUUGUAUUGUAACAAAAGUGAGGUCCAAUUGUAGGGAAGUCACAAAGCAAAAUGCAGAGCAAUGAUCAAUGAUAUUCAACAAUGAAUGGACUCAAUAUACCCAGAAUUAACAUACGCUAAAGAAUUAAUUGGUUUAACCCAACAAAUGUGGAAAAGCAACUCCUAAUGUUUAAACCAAUAACCACAAAACUAUAGCUGACUAAAUUGCAUAUAAUGCAUAAAGAUUUAAAACAGUUAUAAUGCCAUAAAGAUCUCACCAUCAGUCACACCAAUUAGUAAGAGCAGCACAGCCCCCAUGUUGAGCAUCUCGACCUCAGUGUGGUCUCAGUGGAGUCCAGGACUGGAGCCUGUUCACAGGAACACACAACCCAGCCUAUAUGAGACACACAUGUCAUCGCAAAAGUGGAAGCUGUGCAACCGUUGAGCAAACGUUAUACUCACCACAACUGAACUAAAAGGGACAAUACCUUAUUAGGAUGAAGACAGUAAACAGUACAGUGAUACUGGCCAUCUCCUAAGAUCCAAUAAUUAUUAAUAGAAAGAAAUUAGGAAAGAAAUUAUGAAUUCAUGGUAAAAUUCUCCAAUUAAUUCUCCUAUUACUACCUGGAACGCAGCAGCUGAUAGUGAUUAUAAUGAUUGUCAAUCACUUUCACCAACUGCAUUCCACCUGCCUGCCUGCACUGUCCCUCCUCAGCCCAGAGGGGAAGCUGAGCUUCUCCUGGGCCUCCACAAUAUAUUCAUAUUUAUUCAUGAAUAUGUGUUAAUAUCAUUGAUCACUGUGCCAUACAAUUCUUUGUCACAGAGUCUCUACAAUAGCUGGUUCCCUGUCAGUGAUGGCACUGCUCCUGAUAGUAGCAUUGGGAGUCUACUGUGCCAAAAAGCACAAAAGCUCAAAAGGUAAGAAUUUGCGUCUCUUUGGUUUCAGUUUCAGGGGCAGCGGAGAGAGCAGAGGGAGAGUGAGGUGGAGUACGGGGGGGUCAAGGUGGCUCCAGGACCCAGGCGGACGCUGGAGACCAAUGUGGAUGAGUGUGUGUACGCUCAGCCCCGGAGGACGAGGCCCUGAAUGCUGUGAACAGCCAGAAGGGUAGGGUGUAGACAGCGCUUGAGCCAGAGAGCCAGCAGCCCGUUGACCUUUGACCUGCCAGGGGCACUUCUCUCUCUGCAUCUGAAAGGCCACUUCGUUGAACUGUUUUGAAAAUGUUACUGUUUAUUCGGCCGUUAUCACGUUCAUAUGUAUGUCCAUGAAGCCAUUCACAUGUAGUUUAAUUUAUUAAUUAUUAAUAUUAUUUACUUUUACCUCUGUUGUUCUUGUCCAUAGUUGCUUCCAGCAUAAAAUGUUGCUUAAAAACUGAUACCAGCAAUCAGUUAUUAUUAAUUACGAUAGCUUGAGUCUGUUCUAUAAACAUAACGCCAAUUUAAAUGGACAUAUACAUACAUUACACCCACACAAACAGACACUCAUCUAUUACAUAGCUACAUACUUUCUCCAAUUAAUGUUCCAAAAUGUAAUAUAAAAGAGACAAUCUCAUGGAAAAUAGACCUUUUUGACCUAAAAGCGAACAGAAACAAUCAAGUUAUUUGUAACCUAAAUGGUUGACACCUCUGCAGAUAGAGUCAUGGCCAUUUCAUGGCAACCAAUGAGAUAAGGCAAACACUUGGGCUAUGUUUGCUUCUCUGCCGUCUCUAACUUCCCCCUUAUUGCUCAGAUUGCCCUGAUAACACAAACCCUAACAACUAAACUUAUAGGCCAUGAUCAAUCAGCAAAGAAUGAAACAGAUACCAA
Molecule: long non-coding RNA, 3242 nt
Organism: Gadus macrocephalus (Pacific cod)
Lineage: Eukaryota; Metazoa; Chordata; Actinopteri; Gadiformes; Gadidae
Exons: 2
Source: RefSeq, a predicted model, not a curated record